This 261-nucleotide ribosomal RNA is filed under the name uncultured prokaryote. Its description in RNAcentral is "partial 16S ribosomal RNA". It matches the Rfam family "Bacterial small subunit ribosomal RNA", at positions 524 to 784 of the family's 1533-position model. The record is from RNAcentral.
UACGUAGGUGGAGAGCGUUGUCCGGAUUUACUGGGCGUAAAGGGAGCGUAGGCGGACUUUUAAGUGAGAUGUGAAAUACCCGAGCUCAACUUGGGUGCUGCAUUUCAAACUGGAAGUCUAGAGUGCAGGAGAGGAGAAUGGAAUUCCUAGUGUAGCGGUGAAAUGCGUAGAGAUUAGGAAGAACACCAGUGGCGAAGGCGAUUCUCUGGACUGUAACUGACGCUGAGGCUCGAAAGCGUGGGGAGCAAACAGGAUUAGAUA